This 662-nucleotide ribosomal RNA is filed under the name uncultured bacterium. Its description in RNAcentral is "bacterial SSU rRNA". It matches the Rfam family "Bacterial small subunit ribosomal RNA", at positions 61 to 719 of the family's 1533-position model. The record is from RNAcentral.
GUCGAGGGGCAGCACAGGUAGCAAUACUGGGUGGCGACCGGCGGAUGGGUGCGUAACGCGUAUGCAACCUACCAUUGAUUGGGGCAUAGCCCGAAGAAAUUCGGAUUAAUACUCCAUAAUAUUCAUCAAAGGCAUCUUUUAUGAAUUAAAGCUUUUGCGAUCAAUGAUGGGCAUGCGUGACAUUAGUUAGUUGGUGAGGUAACGGCUCACCAAAACGAUGAUGUCUAGGGGUUCUGAGAGGAUUAUCCCCCACACUGGUACUGAGACACGGACCAGACUCCUACGGGAGGCAGCAGUGAGGAAUAUUGGUCAAUGGACGCAAGUCUGAACCAGCCAUGCCGCGUGCAGGAUGACGGCCCUAUGGGUUGUAAACUGCUUUUCCACGGGAAGAACCCUCCGACGUGUCGGAGACUGACGGUACCGUGGGAAUAAGCAUCGGCUAACUCCGUGCCAGCAGCCGCGGUAAUACGGAGGAUGCAAGCGUUAUCCGGAUUUAUUGGGUUUAAAGGGUGCGUAGGUGGGCUUAUAAGUCAGCGGUGAAAUCCCCCGGCUCAACCAGGGAAUUGCCGUUGAUACUGUUAGCCUUGAGUACAGUUGAAGUGGGCGGAAUGUAGCAUGUAGCGGUGAAAUGCAUAGAUAUGCUACAGAACACCAAUAGCGAA